GACGAACGCUGGCGGCGUGCCUAAUACAUGCAAGUAGAACGCACAGUUUAUACCGUAGCUUGCUACACCAUAGACUGUGAGUUGCGAACGGGUGAGUAACGCGUAGGUAACCUGCCUGGUAGCGGGGGAUAACUAUUGGAAACGAUAGCUAAUACCGCAUAAUAUUAAUUAUUGCAUGAUAAUUAAUUGAAAGGUGCAAUUGCACCACUACCAGAUGGACCUGCGUUGGAUUAGCUAGUAGGUGAGGUAAUGGCGCACCUAGGCGACGAUACAUAGCCGACCUGCGUGGGCGGUCAGCCGCCCUGGGACUGAGACACGCCCCAGACUCCUACGGGAGGCAGCCGUAGGGAAUCUUCGGCCAUGGGCGAAAGUCUGACCGAGCAACGCCGCGUGAGUGAAGAAGGUUUUCGGAUCGUAAAGCUCUGUUGUAAGAGAAGAACGGGUGUGAGAGUGGAAAGUUCACACUGUGACGGUAUCUUACCAGAAAGGGACGGCCAACUACGUG
Molecule: ribosomal RNA, 505 nt
Filed under: uncultured bacterium
Lineage: Bacteria
Description: partial 16S ribosomal RNA
Rfam family: Bacterial small subunit ribosomal RNA
Source: RNAcentral